CGGGUGGUAAUGCCGGAUGCUCCAGUUGACCGCAUGGUCCUCUGGGAAAGCUUUUGCGGUAUGGGAUGGGGUCGCGUCCUAUCAGCUUGAUGGCGGGGUAACGGCCCACCAUGGCUUCGACGGGUAGCCGGCCUGAGAGGGCGACCGGCCACAUUGGGACUGAGAUACGGCCCAGACUCCUACGGGAGGCAGCAGUGGGGAAUAUUGCACAAUGGGCGCAAGCCUGAUGCAGCGACGCCGCGUGCGGGAUGACGGCCUUCGGGUUGUAAACCGCUUUUGACUGGGAGCAAGCCCUUCGGGGUGAGUGUACCUUUCGAAUAAGCACCGGCUAACUACGUGCCAGCAGCCGCGGUAAUACGUAGGGUGCAAGCGUUAUCCGGAAUUAUUGGGCGUAAAGGGCUCGUAGGCGGUUCGUCGCGUCCGGUGUGAAAGUCCAUCGCUUAACGGUGGAUCCGCGCCGGGUACGGGCGGGCUUGAGUGCGGUAGGGGAGACUGGAAUUCCCGGUGUAACGGUGGAAUGUGUAG
RNAcentral lists this ribosomal RNA (525 nucleotides) under Bifidobacterium adolescentis. RNAcentral's name for it is "partial 16S ribosomal RNA". It matches the Rfam family "Bacterial small subunit ribosomal RNA", at positions 157 to 693 of the family's 1533-position model. The record is from RNAcentral. Lineage: Bacteria; Bacillati; Actinomycetota; Actinomycetes; Bifidobacteriales; Bifidobacteriaceae.